Molecule: ribosomal RNA, 731 nt
Filed under: Geobacillus sp. x11w1
Lineage: Bacteria; Bacillati; Bacillota; Bacilli; Caryophanales; Anoxybacillaceae
Description: bacterial SSU rRNA
Rfam family: Bacterial small subunit ribosomal RNA
Source: RNAcentral
CCGCACGGAGUAUUUCCAGCGGACCAAAUUGAGAGCUUGCUCUGAUUUGGUCAGCGGCGGACGGGUGAGUAACACGUGGGCAACCUGCCCGCAAGACCGGGAUAACUCCGGGAAACCGGAGCUAAUACCGGAUAACACCGAAGACCGCAUGGUCUUUGGUUGAAAGGCGGCCUUUGGCUGUCACUUGCGGAUGGGCCCGCGGCGCAUUAGCUAGUUGGUGAGGUAACGGCUCACCAAGGCGACGAUGCGUAGCCGGCCUGAGAGGGUGACCGGCCACACUGGGACUGAGACACGGCCCAGACUCCUACGGGAGGCAGCAGUAGGGAAUCUUCCGCAAUGGGCGAAAGCCUGACGGAGCGACGCCGCGUGAGCGAAGAAGGCCUUCGGGUCGUAAAGCUCUGUUGUGAGGGACGAAGGAGCGCCGUUCGAAGAGGGCGGCGCGGUGACGGUACCUCACGAGGAAGCCCCGGCUAACUACGUGCCAGCAGCCGCGGUAAUACGUAGGGGGCGAGCGUUGUCCGGAAUUAUUGGGCGUAAAGCGCGCGCAGGCGGUCCCUUAAGUCUGAUGUGAAAGCCCACGGCUCAACCGUGGAGGGUCAUUGGAAACUGGGGGACUUGAGUGCAGGAGAGGAGAGCGGAAUUCCACGUGUAGCGGUGAAAUGCGUAGAGAUGUGGAGGAACACCAGUGGCGAAGGCGGCUCUCUGGCCUGCAACUGACGCUGAGGCGCGAA